Prionailurus viverrinus (fishing cat) is the source of this 10297-nucleotide RNA transcript. It is a transcript of the gene named potassium calcium-activated channel subfamily N member 3, with no coding region annotated. Lineage: Eukaryota; Metazoa; Chordata; Mammalia; Carnivora; Felidae. The record is from RefSeq and is a predicted model, not a curated record. The transcript has 10 exons.
GUGUGAUCUGUUCCUCAGUUUUCAUCUGUAAAAGGAGAAUGAUGACAUCAUUUGCAUGGGGUUGAAGUGGGGGGUGGAAGUAACAAAGAGGCGCCUGCACGCUUACUGCCGGCGUUCAGUAGGCCCCUCCUGCCCAGGGCCAUGCACCCCUGAGUGGCGACGUCUGGACCCUGGGCAGCCCCAGAGAACCGGAGCCAGAGAACGAAGACGGGGCCAGGACACCUGCUGGGGGCUUGGAUGCCCGGCUGCCUCUGAGGACAUCUUUGGAGCGAGGGUGGCUUUGGGGUGGGGGGUUGUGCCGCAGGGAAUCCAGCCAGGCCCCAAGAUGGACACUUCUGGGCACUUCCAUGACUCGGGGGUGGGGGACCUGGAUGAAGACCCCAAGGGUCCCUGCCCGUCGUCCGGGGAUGAGCAGCAGCCGCCGCCGCCGCCGCCGCCGCCCCCAGCAGCCCCCCAGCAGCCCCCGGGACCCCUGCUGCAGCCUCCGCAGCAGCCCCAGCAGCAGCCAGCGCGUCCCCUGUCUCUGCUCGCCCAGGUCCAGAGCCAGCCCGUCCAGCCCGGCCUGCCGCACUCCUCACCCACGACGCUCAGGGGCCCCCCUUCGGCCAACUCCACCGCUGCCCUCCGCCCCUCCUCCAGGCAAGGCAGCCAGUUCAAUCUCAAUGACCACUUGCUCGGCCACUCUCCAAGCUCCACAGCCACAAGUGGGCCCGCUGGCGGCGGCCGGCACCGGCAGGCCAGCCCCCUGGCGCACCGGCGGGACAGCAACCCCUUCACGGAGAUCGCCAUGAGCUCCUGCAAGUACAGCGGGGGGGUCAUGAAGCCCCUGAGCCGGCUGAGCGCCUCCCGGAGGAACCUCAUCGAGGCCGAGCCGGAAGGCCAGCCCCUCCAGCUCUUCAGCCCCAGCAACCCCCCCGAGAUCAUCAUCUCCUCCCGGGAGGACAACCAUACCCACCAGACCCUGCUCCACCCCCCCAACGCCACCCACAACCACCAGCACGCCGGCCCCGGCCCCGGCCCCGGCCCGGCCACCGCCGCCGGCAGCGCCACCUUCCCCAAAGCCAACAAACGGAAAAACCAAAACAUUGGCUAUAAGCUGGGACACAGGAGGGCCCUGUUCGAAAAGAGGAAGCGUCUCAGUGACUAUGCUCUGAUUUUUGGGAUGUUUGGAAUUGUUGUCAUGGUGAUAGAGACCGAGCUCUCUUGGGGUUUGUACUCAAAGGAUUCCAUGUUUUCGCUGGCCCUGAAAUGCCUUAUCAGCCUGUCUACCAUCAUCCUCUUGGGCUUGAUCGUCGCCUACCACACGCGAGAAGUCCAGCUCUUCGUGAUUGACAACGGCGCGGACGACUGGCGGAUAGCCAUGACCUGCGAGCGCGUCCUGCGCAUCAGCCUGGAGAUGCUGGUGUGCGCCAUCCACCCCGUCCCCGGCGAGUACAAGUUCUUCUGGACGGCGCGCCUGGCCUUCUCCUACACGCCGUCGCGGGCGGAGGCCGACGUGGACAUCAUCCUGUCCAUCCCCAUGUUCCUGCGCCUGUACCUGAUAGCCCGCGUCAUGCUGCUGCACAGCAAGCUGUUCACGGACGCCUCGUCCCGCAGCAUCGGGGCGCUCAACAAAAUCAACUUCAACACCCGCUUCGUCAUGAAGACCCUCAUGACCAUCUGCCCCGGCACCGUGCUGCUGGUGUUCAGCAUCUCGCUGUGGAUCAUCGCCGCCUGGACCGUGCGUGUCUGCGAAAGGUACCACGACCAGCAGGACGUGACCAGUAACUUCCUGGGUGCCAUGUGGCUCAUCUCCAUCACCUUCCUCUCCAUCGGUUACGGGGACAUGGUCCCACACACGUACUGUGGGAAGGGCGUCUGCCUUCUCACCGGCAUCAUGGGUGCGGGCUGCACUGCCCUCGUGGUGGCUGUGGUGGCCCGGAAGUUGGAGCUCACCAAGGCGGAGAAGCACGUGCACAACUUCAUGAUGGACACUCAGCUCACCAAACGGAUCAAGAACGCCGCGGCCAACGUCCUUCGGGAAACGUGGCUGAUCUACAAGCACACGAAGCUGCUGAAGAAGAUUGACCACGCCAAGGUCCGGAAGCACCAGAGGAAGUUCCUGCAAGCUAUCCACCAACUGAGGAGCGUCAAGAUGGAGCAGAGGAAGCUUAGCGACCAGGCCAACACCCUGGUGGACCUCUCCAAGAUGCAGAACGUCAUGUACGACCUGAUCACGGAGCUCAACGACCGCAGCGAAGACCUGGAGAAGCAGAUCGCCAGCCUGGAGUCCAAGCUGGAGCACCUGGCGGCCGGCUUCAGCUCCCUGCCCCUCCUCAUCGCCGACGCGCUCCGCCAGCAGCAGCAGCUCCUGUCCGCCCUCGCCGAGGCCCGGGUUGGCGCGGCGGGCACCCCGCACACGCCCCCGCCCUCCGACAGCCCCCUCGGGGUCAGCUCCGCCUCCUUCCCGACCCCGUACACGAGCUCCAGCAGCUGCUAAAUGAACGCCCGCUCCGGAAGCGGAACCCAUAGGUCUUAAGAUGCAAAUCGACUCUGUCCUGGUCACUGCGCCAUCAAGGAACAAUCAGAGCAGGGAGCGCAAAGAAGAGAGACCAGCUAAUUAAGUAGCUCCCGUUCGUUGGGCGUGCUUGGUUGGAUACGCCUCGAAACCAGAAAUCUAAUCUCUGUUUAGGUGCCUCCACUUGGGAGCGGGAAGACGGGGGUGGGGGGACAGGAAGCGGUGGCGCAGAACAGAAAUCCACGCGCGAUCUCCGGUCUCGCGCGGGAGCGGGGGUGGAGGGGGCAGACAGGUGCACGCAAGGGGCCAACGGGGAAGGAGCCCAGAGGAGGGUCCCCCGGGGGCGGUGUCAGGCUUGGGCGUGGGCUCCUCACCGGGUUCCUGGGCACACCCCUCUCCUUGCCUCGGGAUGACACUGGCCAGAACAGGCGCUGUCUCCUCUCAUGCCGGAGUCAUAAAACCCAAUUUAGACACACAAAAAAAAGUAAAACCAGAUUUUCCAUCCAAUAUUAAUACCCAUAUAAACCUGUGUGUUUGCACAUCUGUGCACGCACACACCCCACAUUCAACCCAGGUCUUUUCUCGCUUGAACUUGACCCACUAGAAAGGGACCCGGUACCUUACUGUGCACACAGUAGGCGCUCUGUAAUGCACGUGGAGUUGGCUUGAAUCUGAAUGUGGGUGCUUUCAGCUCAGGGGGUUUGCUAGUGUCGGGCAUAUUCUGAGCUUCCCUAAAGACGCAGGCUAGAGAGAGCACCUCACCCUGGGGGCGCACCCUGCUUGCUCGGCUAGAGAUGAACGCCCAGCCAGACUUGUUGGCAUUCCGGAGGGAUGAGCAGUCUUCUAAAAACAACAGCCCCACAGAGUUUCCUCCGUAUAUCUGAGCCAGCCGUGUUCCCAUGGAGCACGUGAGGGGAGGGCACGGGGUCCCCGCACGUGGGCACACGCACGCGCCAGCAGGGGCAGCCCAGUGACACCUGAGUGAGGACCAGCACGUCUGGGGCUUUGCUCGGCUGCGUCCACGCAGCUGCAGGGCUCCAGCCCCAGGUGUCAGGAGCGCAAAGGGGCCCAAGUCCCUACCUGGGGGCCACCGAGCUGGAAGAAGUGGAGGGGGGGCCCGUGGUCCCUUCUACCUGGCCCGAGACCGCCUCAAAGCGAAAGAUUCGGAGAAUAACGGGACCCUCAGGGAGCCCUGGGGGCCGGGACAGAUGACGCGGGCCUGUCAGCAGCCUGUUCUGCGCCACGGUGAUCUUGGUGCAAAAACUACUCGAAUGUGUCUCAAACUCCAAGAAACUUGAGAAGCGUGAAGACCCAGUGUCGUGACAGGCGCUGGGAGGCGAGGCGCGUGGACGCGGUCCCUUACUGCUCUGUGUCUGGCCACCACCCGUGUGCUGUGACGCAGCCGUCACGUGCCCCGUCACCGCUCCCGUCGUGAGGUCCUCGACUUCGGCUGCGGGACGGCGAACGACACGGUUCGCGGUAUCCCAUCUGUUCAGGGAAGGGUGUCAUUUGCAGACGGUCGGCCUCCCUGUGCGUAGGACAUUGUCACGUCUCUGACGUCCUGACAUCAACUGGGCCAGGCCUGCUAGGGACAAGGGAGUCACUAGAUGGCAGGAGGCGGGUGACCCUGGAACCGGGCAAGAUCGGGCGUCUUGCCAACCUUCCCCUUUUCCCUCUUUCUGUUGCUGCCGUUUUCCCUAAACGGGCUUGUUCUCCGCGCGGUAACCGGAGAACACGUCCGUUGGGUGUUUUGCGUAUCACACCUGCCGCCCCUGCUGUUGGCUCUUUAUUUUGCUACUUGUUCUUUCAACUGUCAAUCAUCCGACAGAUCACCCUCCUUUUUCGUGCCCCAAGAAUGGUGCUCCUGUUCUCAGUGGCAGUGCAGCCGAGCGUAUAAACAGAUGCGGAGGCAGAUGAAAUAACCAUGCGGUUUCUUUACGGCGUUAAUUCCACUCACAAGGUGGAGACCGCGUCUGCCACGCUGCGCGCUCCAGCCCCGGUCGCUGACCGACGGUCCCCGCCCGUUACCUCCUGCUCGCCCUUCCCAUUCCGCUGUGACCCAUGACGUGUGUGCGCACGUCCACGCUCACAGGGGGUUAGUCUUAACUUCAAAUAAAUGGCACGCAAGAUUCCACUGCCACCCCCCUGCACAGACCGCCGUUGGGCCGCCGAGGUCUGCGGGUAAUUCUUCCACCCCUCGCUAACGCGGUGCACCCAAAUGAACGCCAAAGACCAAGCUGGCCACACUGGUAAAGGGGGGCUGGAGUCCUCUCCGGAAGCUGAGGCCACCGGCCCCCGGAAACACAGGGGCGUCUGGGGCAGGACUCGAGCUCACGGCAGUGCAGUAGCUGUGUGGAGUUUUCUUCCUCGGCACCGUGCCCAGUCUUCAAAAACGAUCCAGUCUUUGCCAAUCUUGUGACCGUAAACGGGAGGGCACAUCCCUGACGGAGCCCCUCAGCUUCAUGUGGGGAAGUUAUCCGCUCUCCUGCGAGUGCAAUCGACCUUGAUGACCUCAGUAUUGAUCAUCCAAAGUGUAGUUCCCCCCCACCCCCGGUGUCCUCCCCGUAGCCUGCCUUGUGGCCAAUCCCGCUGUGCCUCAGCGUCACAGACAGAUGGGACCAGGUAGCGGGUGAUCGCUGUGCCUUCUCGUUCCCUCGUGCCGAGUCUGGUGGCAGUGGAGAUUGAAUUGUCUGCUGGAGAAUCGGCUGUGUGAACUAACGUAAAACUCUCACUCACAGUGACCUCACUCUAAUGCUGAACUGAGUUCUGCCCGCUCGCGGAAGGCCGACCCAAUGGCAGAGCCCUCCUAUACCUUUUCUGGUAACUCAGUGCCAGAUAAAAUACCUACGAGUCCCUAAAAUAUCCAGACACUUGAAUUAAAACUCCAGAGCCACCCCCCCCCCCCAAUCACUUAAGCCAUAUUGUAGCCUCAUGUGCUGUAAAGUCAGGGACGGACUGUGAUACUCUAAGACCGCUGGUCUCUGUGGAAUUUCGGGACGUGGCGUCAGUUGGCAAAUUCUACCAGACUCGGGGCUCGCUCCUCCUUAGACUGAAGUCCCAAUAAAAAUCUGCCCCUUUUGGAUCGAAGGCCACGACAUCAGUAAAUUGUCAUAAAGUGUCUGCACUGCUCUUCCCAUCCUCACGACGUGCAACGUCAUGACGUGAUAUCUCUAAAAAUGCUUAACGCCACUCGGGAGAACGAGGGGGGUGAGGCCCUGGGUCGUGGCUACCUUCCAGCCUCAGCGGGUGCCGGGCGCGUAGCGGCGACUUCAUAAAUUAGGAGGCACAGAGGACGCCCGCGCCAGCCAGUCUCGAGUGAGCCAGGACAGCUGCCGCUUAAAGGCCAAGAAGGAACAGCGUUGAAGAAAUAAUGAUUCUGAUACAUUUGAGGAAUCCCCCCUCAGAGUUCCAGUGAUUUCCACGUGGAUGAAGGAGAGGAACAGGAAGAAAGCUAGAGAUACGGAAUCGGAGUAAUUAAGUUCCAAUGCUGGACCCAUGCCUUUGGCCAGUUAAUGUCACCACCUCACACCUCGGUUUCUCUGUGCUUAAAGGGAAGCCGAUAGGUAGCUCCCCUAAGUACAAAGUACUCCGUAGAUUUUACGACAGAGUCGCGCUGGCCUUCAGCAGCAGCCACACCGGGUCCCGUCGAGCCCACGCUUGGGUGUUGUGUGUGAAUGUGCGCGAGAGUCACCAGAAAGCAAUGAGGACACCUCACCUGGGAAGGGAAAUUAGCGGGAGGGACCCGGGACUGGCACACGGGCCCCGGCCCCUCCCCCACCCCGGGCCAGUGCUUCACCCCAGACCACAGGCGUCGCAGCCGAGAUUCCGGGAAGUCCUUGCACCACCAGUAAGUUACUGCUUUAAAUCCCGGCGUGUGUCCCCACUCCCGGGCACUCCUCCCGCUUCCCCAACAGUGGCUCCGAAGCGGAGUCAGGCUGGCCGGUGGUCAUGAUGCCGCCCCAGGAACCCGACGACGCUGCCUCCGCACCUCACGCGGCCGUCCGGUGGCCUCCAGCAUGGCGGCCGGCGCAGUGAUGCCCUAGACGUCGUCCCUUCCUUCUCUGCUGCCACCAAAGGAAACCCCGAGUGAGAUUGGGGCCAUCGAUGGCGCCAGGCGAGGGUGUCCCAGGGGCCCGGCCGGACCACCAGCUCCCGGCCGGCUAGUAGAGGCGAGUGCGCUUCGCCUGGGCCGCACGGGUGGAAGUUAACGUUAAGUUCCCGCCAGACGGGUGACACGUAGGGUUUUUGCCGAGAUAGGUGGAAACGGCACUCAGCGCAGGGCAGUGUGAGCGAAGGGGAGUGUGAGCACACAGAGAGGCGAGGAGCUGUGACUAUCCCUGGAAACGCCCCGCGUGGGCUGGAGUUCCUUCUGAACAAAACUGUCAUCGAAGCUCCAACGUCUGACCUCCACGCCCAGGUGCCAAGUGUCGAGUGACGGUUGUUUACGUGCCUGAGAAGCGCAUUCUGGAAGCCGCAUCUUGGGCCGGACCGUGUGUUGAAACUAAAGAAGUGUCGUGACCAAUCAAGCUGAUGGAGGAAAAGCACAAAAUUUAACACCAACCCGUAGUUAGGAUCCCAAAGAAAUGCUGAAUUUAUAGCCAAAAAAAAAAAAUCAGUGACAAAUCCACUAUGACUGUGAUGGGAGCAACCGUGUUCCCAGAGGAAGGACACCCCCCGGCCGUGUCGAACAGCCCCAGCCAGGACCCAGCCACCUUCGUCAGAGGUCUUAAUGGCGCCACUACUCACCCCGGUCCCAGACUCUGCGUUGUGCACCGGACGAAGAGGAGACGAGAGAGCGGCAGGAUUUAGCGGAGGGACCACGUUCGUGGCCGACUUAGAAAGUGGAGUGUUUGUGUUCAGAAUCACGUGACCUUCAGUAUGAAUUUGCAUCUUGCCUCUGUACUGCUGGCUAUUUUUUAAUGAUAGGAGAAAGCAUAAGUUUAUUUUAAAUAUGAAAUAUAUUGCUAUAUUAUAAAAUAUAUUGUAACUUUCAAUUCACAUUUUGUAUCAAACUAGUCCUUGGCGGCCUGCGCGUCGCCCGCUCUCCCAACACCUGUUUCUGAGUGCACAUCACUGUUAACGACCCCUGCCGACCCGGACCCACAGAGCCGUCACAGUCUGAUUCUCCAAGACCUGCCCGCUGGAGACAAAAGAACCCUGUUCCAAGCUUAGAGGAAAAAUUCUACCCUAAAUUCUAUCAAGCCAUUGCAGAUGAGAUUUUAAAAGCCAUGACCCCCCUGGUAGCUGUGCCCGGCCAGUUCGAAAAAUGCUCAGGUUCUUUCUGUGUAAACGCAAAGACCCUGCUACGUAAAUACGUAAACGAUAGGGGUCUCAAACUCGGCCAACCGGCUUUGCCUUCAGGGACGUCACAAUCGGGUCCAGGAAGAGUCCUGUGCUCCUGUGACACAAGGCUCGAAAUCCAGGCGCUGUGAGCUUAUCUGUGUCCAGACAGAGUCAGACCAGACCUGGAGCUUCACUUCCGCAGGUGCAGUGAGACCCAGUGAGACCCAGUGAGGCCCAGUGAGGCCCAGGGAGGCCCAGGGAGGCCCAGGGAGGCCCAGGGAGACCCAGCGUGCAGGCGCGAGCCCCUGGAGGAAGCAGGGGCUCCCCGUGUUUACCCCCACACGGGGCUCGGCCCAGAGGGAGGGAGGAAGCAGUGAACAGCUGGACCCAGCAGAGCCGGGCUCCCUUCCCGCCGGUGUAGCUGAGGGGAAGGGAGCCUCAACCGACGCUGUCUUCACUGGCAGAAUUGGGGGAAAUUCUCUCCUUACGCAACUCACGAAUUCCGCCCCCCCCCCCCCGCCCGCCCCGUCUGAAUAGCUGAGACACAUGUAGAAUUUCUCACUUCCCUCCUCUGAAUGACGGAGGGACUAUUUCCAGAUGAAAACAGGAUGUGUUUGGUUACAGAACAAAGGUUUUCUAGAAUCCGUGGGCCUCCCCCCAGGAGGCCCCUCUCUCGUUUUCCUCACUUCGGGCUAAUACCGCACAGGUGCGAAGCGUGGAGCCCCAGGACCCCUGGGACUGUGUCUCCUUUCUCCCCAAACGGAAGCCCACGCAGACACGCCCAGAGUGCAGGGCAACAGGCCUUCUCUGGGGCAGGGUGGGGCCCUCUCAAGCUCGCACGUAGAAGGCCCAGGCGUCAGUGGCCCGGGCCGUCUGAGAGAGAAGUGUCCAAACGGCCAGCUUCAGGCUGCUCGCACUUUGUUUUUAGUGCAGGAGACUCCCUCGGUGUCCGCACUGCCCUCAGUUACGCGCGAGGCUGGGCUCCGUCAGACCGCAGGACGAAUGUGUUUAGCACUGGGUAAAGGAAAUUAGUUUGUUGUCAAUUUUACAAUUAGCUGAUGAACGUGCUGGUGGUAAUUGAUCUGUCCCUACUGCUUUUCUGCUGCUAAAUAGAACUGUCUUUUUCGGCUGUUUCUUCCAGCGCCUCUCAGACUAAGACUUUUACGUUCAUAGAGAGCAGGUGCAUUCUUGUUUACCCCUCAAAGUUACUCUUCGGUCUAGAGCAAGAAAACCAAAUGCAAACUCUUGAUUUGGGGAGAGCAGACCUUGCCCGGAAUUCGGGUUUGUGGCUGGAUGCACAGUGUGGCCCAGACACGCACCAGCAGCACCUGGGAACUUAGAAAUGCAGACUCUCGCCCCCCCCCCCCCCCCACUUAAUGAAACUUGGCGUUUUCACAAGAUCCCCAAGUGAUCCGUGUGCACGUUCAGCGGUAGCUGGAGAAUUAAACCAUUUGUUCUUUGACCCUCCUUUACAGAAUCACCCGAUGAGGUCAAGUCCUGUACGAUCACGAGGACAAAAACAGUUCCACUCGAGGUCGUAUGACGUGUACAAAACGGGCGGUCUUCUCCCAGUCUAAUUCCUUUAAAACUUGCUUUGUAGCCUAGAGCCACCGCGAGGCCCCUUCCGGGUUUCUGGUUUUAGCCUGUGCCAGCGGGGUCGGCGGGAGGGUGGCCCGGCCCUGCUCAGGCGCUACAGAGCGAGAGAGCUGUGUGACUUCCGCGACGCCCAUCAGUGGGCGCUCGCCUCCCCUGAGAGAACUAGCGAGGGGAGUUGCUUUAAUCGUCUAGAGACACUCCUAGUCUCUCAGUCACGACAGCCACCGGAGACACUCCGAGGUGAGCAACGGAAAACGGGACUUGCGAUGUGGGCACCACAGAUCGAUAUGUACCCAGAAACAGUCGUGUUCUAAAUUAAUGGCUUUAACCUGUUCAUUGUAAAAAGUGCCUUGGACUUCGAUCUCAAGAGAUAAAACGCUGUCCUCUGUCUUAAGGAAGGUGGAUGCGCAGCUGUGAAAGCUGGAAGCCGAAAGUGGGCCCGGUUCUCGGAUCCGGACACUUCGGCGGAAUUCCGGGCCCUCGAGGGACAGCGCCCCCUGCCGGCCAUCCGGGAGCACAGCGACCUGGGGCACAGGGGACCCCGACGCCUCUGGGAGAAAGCUCCUCGGGGCGCGUCACACCCGCAUCUCGCGGCCCAGAGAAGUGACCUGCCCCAAAGCAAACCUUAGCGCAGGGACCGGCGCGUCGCGGGCACGUCGCGGGCGCCUUCCGUGCCGGUGCGGAAAGCCAGGCCUGCCCGGCGCCUCUCCACCGUCCGGCCUUCACCCCGGAGCCCCCAUCCAUCUCGCAAAUGCCACGUGAACCCAGGGGGCCCUGCUCCCCCCCCAGCACGUGUUCACACCACACAGGACGCCCAGCGCCCGCAUUACCGACCCCCUGCAAACAAGGGUAUCCAUAUUUCAGGGGUAACCAUCACUUUCAAAUUCAUCUGCCUUUCGUGUAAAGAAUUUAGAGCUAACA